This is a long non-coding RNA of Chenopodium quinoa (quinoa), 788 nucleotides long. RefSeq lists it as uncharacterized. The record is from RefSeq and is a predicted model, not a curated record. The transcript has 2 exons. Lineage: Eukaryota; Viridiplantae; Streptophyta; Magnoliopsida; Caryophyllales; Amaranthaceae.
UAACCGCUCAAUUUGAGUUUUUGAUUUUUUUUAACAAAUUGUGACCUUACAAUAUAGAACGCCCUACUUAGCUAACCGUUUCUAUUUGAUUUUACAAACCCUAGAAAUCCUUCACAUCGUCUAGUCGCCUCUUUCUCCUUUUUCUAAGUUACCAGCCGCUCUUAUCAUGAGAUCUUCACUCUCAUCCCUUUCUAUCUCUUUUUUCUCUCUCAUCCUAAUAUAUUCAGUUUUCCCUUUUUAAUUUCGUUUGAACCCCUCACCACAAAUUAAAUCUCAAAUUUUUUUUCUAAAAUGUUGUUUGGGGUUUUUCAAUAAUCUUGAAAUUGUGCGCUAAUCAAGCCCAAAAUUCAAUUAAAAUAUGUAUCAUUUGGGUAAUUUUUUCAAGGUUACAAAGAUGCAAUCUUUGAGGUGAGGAUAUAGAUUUCUAAUCGUGUUUUCUGGAUUUUUAAACCCAGAAAAAUUGCAGCUCGUCAUUUUCAUCCCGCUGCUCUGUUUUCGCCAAUUAUUUUUGCUGCUUCUUCUCUCAAAGCUUGUUCACCUUUGCUCGAUAUUGCUCAAAUCUCUUUUAUAAUUUUGGUUUUUUGCUCAAUCGUCACAAUCAAUAUAUAUAAGAGGAAGAAGAAAGAUAUUCUCACAGUUCUUCAGUCAUACAUUUUGUUAAUCUCUUGAAUUUGUUCUUCGGUCAUUGUAUUAUUAUUUUUUUUUUAAAAAAAGGGUCAUUGUAUUAAUAGUCAUUGUAAUUUGUAUUGAUAUUAUAAUUUAUUAGAUGAAUAUAUUUAAUUUUGGUA